AGUGAACGCUGGCGGUAGGCCUAACACAUGCGAGUCGAACGGCAGCACAGUAAGAGCUUGCUCUUACGGGUGGCGAGUGGCGGACGGGUGAGGAAUACAUCGGAAUCUACUUUUUCGUGGGGGAUAACGUAGGGAAACUUACGCUAAUACCGCAUACGACCUACGGGUGAAAGCAGGGGAUCUUCGGACCUUGCGCGAUUGAAUGAGCCGAUGUCGGAUUAGCUAGUUGGCGGGGUAAAGGCCCACCAAGGCGACGAUCCGUAGCUGGUCUGAGAGGAUGAUCAGCCACACUGGAACUGAGACACGGUCCAGACCCCUACGGGAGGCAGCAGUGGGGAAUAUUGGACAAUGGGCGCAAGCCUGAUCCAGCCAUACCGCGUGGGUGAAGAAGGCCUUCGGGUUGUAAAGCCCUUUUGUUGGGAAAGAAAAGCAGCAGGUUAAUACCCCGCUGUUCUGACGGUACCCAAAGAAUAAGCACCGGCUAACUUCGUG
This 492-nucleotide ribosomal RNA is filed under the name uncultured bacterium. Its description in RNAcentral is "partial 16S ribosomal RNA". It matches the Rfam family "Bacterial small subunit ribosomal RNA", at positions 29 to 507 of the family's 1533-position model. The record is from RNAcentral.